This 99-nucleotide unclassified non-coding RNA is filed under the name Salmonella enterica subsp. enterica serovar Paratyphi A str. ATCC 9150. RNAcentral's name for it is "IS092; sRNA gene". Lineage: Bacteria; Pseudomonadati; Pseudomonadota; Gammaproteobacteria; Enterobacterales; Enterobacteriaceae. RNAcentral also lists the same sequence under 1 other name. The record is from RNAcentral.
AAAAGCACCGUACAAUGGUCGUAAAGAGAUCAAAGGCCAGGCGUAAUCCUGCUUUUACCUCUUAACGUAAAAACCCGCUUCGGCGGGUUUUUUUGUAUC